GAUGAACGCUGGCGGCGUGCCUAAUACAUGCAAGUCGAGCGAACAGACGAGGAGCUUACUCCUCUGACGUUAGCGGCGGACGGGUGAGUAACACGUGGAUAACCUACCUAUAAGACUGGGAUAACUUCGGGAAACCGGAGCUAAUACCGGAUAACAUGUUGAACCGCAUGGUUCAACAGUGAAAGACGGUCUUGCUGUCACUUAUAGAUGGAUCCGCGUCGCAUUAGCUAGUUGGUAAGGUAACGGCUUACCAAGGCAACGAUGCGUAGCCGACCUGAGAGGGUGAUCGGCCACACUGGAACUGAGACACGGUCCAGACCCCUACGGGAGGCAGCAGUAGGGAAUCUUCCGCAAUGGGCGAAAGCCUGACGGAGCAACGCCGCGUGAGUGAAGAAGGUCUUCGGAUCGUAAAACUCUGUUAUUAGGGAAGAACAAAUGUGUAAGUAACUAUGCACGUCUUGACGGUACCUAAUCAGAAAGCCACGGCUAACUACGUG
This 497-nucleotide ribosomal RNA is filed under the name uncultured bacterium. Its description in RNAcentral is "partial 16S ribosomal RNA". It matches the Rfam family "Bacterial small subunit ribosomal RNA", at positions 28 to 507 of the family's 1533-position model. The record is from RNAcentral.